Molecule: ribosomal RNA, 253 nt
Filed under: uncultured bacterium
Lineage: Bacteria
Description: partial 16S ribosomal RNA
Rfam family: Bacterial small subunit ribosomal RNA
Source: RNAcentral
UACGGGGGGGGCAAGCGUUGUUCGGAAUUACUGGGCGUAAAGGGCUCGUAGGUGGCCAACUAAGUCGGACGUGAAAUCCCUCGGCUUAACCGGGGAACUGCAUCCGAUACUGAAAGGCUUGAAUCCGGGAGAGGGAUGUGGAAUUCCAGGUGUAGCGGUGAAAUGCGUAGAUAUCUGGAGGAACACCGGUGGCGAAGGCGGCUCACUGGACUGGUAUUGACGCUGAGGUGCGAAAGCGUGGGGAGCAAACAGG